This 587-nucleotide ribosomal RNA is filed under the name uncultured bacterium. RNAcentral describes it as "partial 16S ribosomal RNA". It matches the Rfam family "Bacterial small subunit ribosomal RNA", at positions 355 to 937 of the family's 1533-position model. The record is from RNAcentral.
UGGGGAAUAUUGGACAAUGGGCGCAAGCCUGAUCCAGCAAUGCCGCGUGUGUGAAGAAGGCCUUCGGGUUGUAAAGCACUUUUAUCAGGAGCGAAACGCUGUCGGCUAAUACCCGGCGGAACUGACGGUACCUGAGGAAUAAGCACCGGCUAACUUCGUGCCAGCAGCCGCGGUAAUACGAAGGGUGCAAGCGUUAAUCGGAAUUACUGGGCGUAAAGCGUGCGUAGGCGGUUUCUUAAGUCUGCUGUGAAAUCCCCGGGCUCAACCUGGGAAUGGCAGUGGAUACUGGGAGGCUAGAGUGUGUCAGAGGGUGGUGGAAUUCCCGGUGUAGCGGUGAAAUGCGUAGAGAUCGGGAGGAACAUCAGUGGCGAAGGCGGCCACCUGGGACAACACUGACGCUGAGGCACGAAAGCGUGGGGAGCAAACAGGAUUAGAUACCCUGGUAGUCCACGCCCUAAAACGAUGCGAACUGGAUGUUGGUCUCAACUCGGAGAUCAGUGUCGAAGCUAACGCGUUAAGUUCGCCGCCUGGGGAGUACGGUCGCAAGACUGAAACUCAAAUGAAUUGACGGGGUCAUAGCUGUUUCC